Molecule: ribosomal RNA, 253 nt
Filed under: uncultured bacterium
Lineage: Bacteria
Description: partial 16S ribosomal RNA
Rfam family: Bacterial small subunit ribosomal RNA
Source: RNAcentral
UACAGAGGUCUCAAGCGUUGUUCGGAUUCAUUGGGCGUAAAGGGUGCGUAGGUGGCAUGGUAAGUCGGAUGUGAAAUCCCGGGGCUUAACCCCGGAACUGCAUUCGAUACUGCCAGGCUAGAGUCCGGAAGAGGCGAGUGGAAUUCCUGGUGUAGCGGUGAAAUGCGCAGAUAUCAGGAGGAACACCGAUGGCGAAGGCAGCUCGCUGGGACGGUACUGACGCUGAGACGCGAAAGCGUGGGGAGCAAACAGG